RNAcentral lists this ribosomal RNA (709 nucleotides) under Globisporangium violae. Its description in RNAcentral is "eukaryotic LSU rRNA". It matches the Rfam family "Eukaryotic large subunit ribosomal RNA", at positions 81 to 634 of the family's 3401-position model. Lineage: Eukaryota; Oomycota; Peronosporomycetes; Pythiales; Pythiaceae. The record is from RNAcentral.
UAGUAACGGCGAGUGAAGCGGGAUGAGCUCAAGCUUAAAAUCUCUGUGCCAGUUUGGCAUGGCGAAUUGUAGUCUAUAGAGGCGUUGUCAGUGCGGCUGUGCGGGGUAAGUUCCUUGGAAGAGGACAGCAUCGAGGGUGAUACUCCCGUUUGUACCUGUGCGGCUUGCGCGUACGACACGUUUUCUUCGAGUCGCGUUGUUUGGGACUGCAGCGCAAAGUAGGUGGUAAAUUCCAUCUAAAGCUAAAUAUUGGUGCGAGACCGAUAGCGAACAAGUACCGUGAGGGAAAGAUGAAAAGAACUUUGAAAAGAGAGUUAAAGAGUACCUGAAACUGCUGAAAGGGAAGCGAAUCGUAUCCAGUGUCUAUAAUCUGCGGCAUAUUUCAUUGGCGGCUUUGUGCGUGCUAUUGUUUCGGAAGCGGCUUUUGUUGCUCUGUGCUUUGGUGUUGUGCGUUGCUGCUGGUGCCCUGUGUUGCGGUGGGACGUCAGAGUCAGUUCGUAUGCUGCGGGAAAUGGCUGCCGAGGAGGUAGGUCAGGACUUCGGUCUUGGCUGUUAUAUCUUGGUGGUUUGUUGUCGUGGUUGGGACUGAGGUGCCUACAAUGUGCUUUUGAGUGUGCUGGGUUCUCAUUUGGUGGACUGUUUGGAUAGCUUGCUAUGCUUGUGGUUUUUUCAUCGAGUGAUUGAGUCUGGUGGUAACUUAUUGCCGUUC